RNAcentral lists this ribosomal RNA (510 nucleotides) under uncultured Glomus. RNAcentral's name for it is "SSU rRNA". It matches the Rfam family "Eukaryotic small subunit ribosomal RNA", at positions 569 to 1081 of the family's 1831-position model. Lineage: Eukaryota; Fungi; Glomeromycota; Glomeromycetes; Glomerales; Glomeraceae. The record is from RNAcentral.
AGCAGCCGCGGUAAUUCCAGCUCCAAUAGCGUAUAUUAAAGUUGUUGCAGUUAAAAAGCUCGUAGUUGAAUUUCGGGGUCAGUAGGUCGGUCGUGCCACUGGUAUGAACUGGUUUUACUGAUUCCUCCCUCUUGAAGAACUGUAAUGCCAUUAAUUUGGUGUUGCAGGGAAUCAGGACUGUUACUUUGAAAAAUUAGAGUGUUUAAAGCAGGCUUUAGCUUGAAUACAUUAGCAUGGAAUAAUGAAAUAGGACGUUUGAUCCUAUUUUGUUGGUUUCUAGGAUUGACGUAAUGAUUAAUAGGGAUAGUUGGGGGCAUUAGUAUUCAAUUGUCAGAGGUGAAAUUCUUGGAUUUAUUGAAGACUAACUACUGCGAAAGCAUUUGCCAAGGAUGUUUCAUUAAUCAAGAACGAAAGUUAGGGGAUCGAAGACGAUCAGAUACCGUCGUAGUCUUAACCAUAAACUAUGCCGACUAGGGAUCGGAUGAUGUUAAUUUUUUAAUGUACUCAUUC